GUCUCUGUGGCGCAACGGUUAGCGCGUUCGGCUGUUAACUGAAAGGUUGGUGGUUCAAGCCCACCCAGGGACG
RNAcentral lists this transfer RNA (73 nucleotides) under Danionella translucida. It matches the Rfam family "tRNA". Rfam says of the family: Transfer RNA (tRNA) molecules are approximately 80 nucleotides in length. Their secondary structure includes four short double-helical elements and three loops (D, anti-codon, and T loops). The record is from Rfam by way of RNAcentral. Lineage: Eukaryota; Metazoa; Chordata; Actinopteri; Cypriniformes; Danionidae. RNAcentral also lists the same sequence under 1 other name.